CUGAAUACAUUUGUUGUUUCACUUCAUUAGCUUCAUGGACAUAAAUUAGCCAAUUUGAACUUUAUAUUUGUCAUGCUUCUCUUUUUACAGUGCCUGCAUAGUUGCACAAUCGUACCAAUAGUAUGAUAUUUUGUUCGGUUCGUACCAAUAUCAUGAUAUUUUCUUCGGUACAUACACAAGUCAUUGCAACCUCCUCACCUUUGCAGAUAACAUAAAAAUGCACUCCUUUAUUUUCCAAAAAUUUAUAAACACCAGGUAAGCAUAAGAUUGCAAUUAGAAGAUGCUUAGGUUCAGCUGAAGAUGCAGACUGCUACCUCAUAAGUAAUUUAGCUAUAUGCAGGCUUCUACCAGCUUCCAAUGUCAUCACUAUAGGUCAGUUGUCUAACAUUCGACCCUUCGCAGAUACUUUUAUAUGUCAGGGUCGAGACAGAGAAUAUCUCCCUCCUAUUUGCCACUCAUUUCACCAAAUAUAAUAUGUCUAAAUUAGCAGAUGUAAAAUAGGGAACUAAAUUUUUUUCAUACUACCAACAUCUAAAUAUUUAUUAAUUCAUCUAAAGAUAUUGAUUUGUCGAAUCACAGUAAAAGAAGAUAGAGAAAUCAACCAUAUGGGUAACCUUGAUCUCAUCCAUUAUGAAACAGGGUACCCUGAAUACUUGAGUUCUAUUUAUUUCUGACCACAUUUAUGUGAAUUUGUGAUUCAUAUUACUUACCUUAGUAACGACGGUUGCGGUAAACAGCUCCCUCCUCCGAUUUACCUUUCCCAUUUCCCCAAAUAUAAUAAUGUGUCUAAAAUAGCAGAUUUGAAACAGGGAACUAAAUUUUCAUAUUACCAAAGCCCAAACAUCUAAACAUUUAUCAGUUCAUCUAAAGAUUUUGAUUUCUUGAACCACAGUUAAAAAAGAUAGAGAAAUCAAUCUUAUGGGCAUCCUUCAUCUCUCAUCCAUUAUAAAAAAGGGUACCCUGAAAACUAAAAUUCUGUUUGUUUCUGACCACAUUGAUGUGAAUUUUUUAUUCAGAUUACUUAUCUUAGCAAUGACCGGUGCUAGAAGAGAACAAUAAGCGAAUCGAGGCUCUUAGCUCUUAAAGCACACACACUAUGCCUUCCACUUACAUCAAGAGGCUGAAGUUGUUGCAGUUAAGAAUUAUAUAAGCUUAGCUCUCGAUGUUAUGCAAGUUUUGAAUUACUCAAUUUGCUACUUCGAAUUAAAAUUUAGAUACAUGCACAACCCAUUUAUUAACAACUUCAGAUUUUUUUCCCCGAGAUCUCUAUAAUAUUUUAUCUUUAAUAAUCUGGAACCUCAAAAUCACUAUAGACUGUUUCGUCUAAAAAAUAAUCAUUAUAAACUGCUUAAUACAUUGUUUGAUGGAAGAUAGGAUGUCCUUGCUGCUCUUACUGACACUGGGACAUGCUUAGCAAGUCAAAGAUAGGACAUCUUUGUUUUUUCAACUUUACAACCAAAUCUUGGAAGUACAAAUGAAGCUAUGCGAUGCUUCUUUAUAUCAUGAGGAACAUGGCCCUCCAUUGUUAAAGAAGUUAAAAGCCUGUCACAAAUAUUUAUUUCUACUUGAUUACACUAUUUAUUCAGACAUGCUUGGACACCAGAAGUGAUGAGCAGCCAUUUCAAAAAUUGAUCAGUUGCCAGGUUUGAUAGGUACUUCGUUAACAGAAAAUCAGCAGCAAUAUUAUAUCCUGUACACAUUAUUAUUAGAGAAAACUUGGCUGAAAUUUUUCUGGAAGCCACCCAGGCAUUAUAUCCUCUCCGAGAAACUUGGCUGAAGUUUAGUAACCAAAAGAACAUGGAAAAUCUCAAGAAUGAAAAAGACGUAUCUGCAAAAUGAAGUGCUAUAUGAAGCUGGAUCUUAAAGAAACAGAGAUGGCUACCAAACCAAAGAGGAUCUAUUCAUUGAGUGAUGCAAAUGAUAGAACUGGAGGCAUGCAAAUGAUAGAACUAGAUACAUGCACCUGUUAACAUCUUCUGUAUCAAUACUUUUGAUUUGAUUCUUUUUGUAUAAUGGUGCAUGUUCUAUAUCCACAACAGAGCAUACGAAUCAUUCUACAUGCCCCUGUAAUAAUGCAUGGUCAACGAAUAUGUGCAGAGUUACCUGUUUGGAACGCAACAUAAAACCAAAACCAAAAUGACGACUGCACUACUCCUUUGAUACUACAUUACCAAGCUGUCGGUGGCGCACAAGCCAAAGGUUCCAAGAGAAUCUGUGACAAUAGAAAUGGCAUACGGAUAUUUGAUACGU
Molecule: long non-coding RNA, 2250 nt
Organism: Phragmites australis (common reed)
Lineage: Eukaryota; Viridiplantae; Streptophyta; Magnoliopsida; Poales; Poaceae
Exons: 3
Source: RefSeq, a predicted model, not a curated record